Molecule: ribosomal RNA, 397 nt
Filed under: uncultured bacterium
Lineage: Bacteria
Description: bacterial SSU rRNA
Rfam family: Bacterial small subunit ribosomal RNA
Source: RNAcentral
AACGAACGCUGGCGGCAUGCCUAACACAUGCAAGUCGAACGAGACCUUCGGGUCUAGUGGCGCACGGGUGCGUAACGCGUGGGAAUCUGCCCUUGGGUUCGGAAUAACAGUUGGAAACGACUGCUAAUACCGGAUGAUGACGUAAGUCCAAAGAUUUAUCGCCCAAGGAUGAGCCCGCGUAGGAUUAGCUAGUUGGUGAGGUAAAGGCUCACCAAGGCGACGAUCCUUAGCUGGUCUGAGAGGAUGAUCAGCCACACUGGGACUGAGACACGGUCCAGACUCCUACGGGAGGCAGCAGUAGGGAAUAUUGCGCAAUGGACGAAAGUCUGACGCAGCCACGCCGCGUGAGUGAAGAAGGCCUGGUUGGUAAAGGUACUCUGUCAUCUGGAAAAACAAG